GCUAUUGCUGAAUUUAAAUGGAUUAAGCCAAUUUAUCAGAGCGGACCUAUCUGAGUCCGUAGAGUGGAGAAAAACGAGCUUGCUGUUGAAUUUCAGUCGGCGUCGUACCAGGAGCAAAAUCGUCCAACUUUUUCUAUGUAACCUGAAACACAAAACAAAGUAUAUUAACGCGUUCAGGAGAUCGAAACAAGCAAGUUACCUGAAGACAACGUCGCCGGACAGUCGGCCACGCGCCGCCUCUCCGGGAGUGCCUCGACCUGCUGGUGAUGGGUAUGGCCUCCGUUUGUCCAACUGAGCUUUGGUUUGUGAAUAAUUGAUAAUUUUCAGAUUCGGGUUCUAAGGUUCAUGUCCGAAAAUCAGCCGAUUUUGAGCCGAUUUUUGCUACCCGUGCUCUGAUACCAGAUGUUAGGAUCUUCGUUAAGCUGCUCAAAGUGAUUUACGGGCUCGGUUAACCAUUAAACAUCAAAUUCAACACCAAACCGAGAGAUGACCGAUCGCCGGCGUCCGCCCUUCCUAUGGUUGCUAUUUCCUCUUUUGCUUGUUGAUUCUACCACACGCUUAGGAUGGAUACCACAUAGGUAAGAGUCACAAAGCCUCAAGCAAUUGGUAGGGAAGAUAACUUGGCAGGAAGCAUGAAGGAGAAGAAGAAGAAUAACACCUCUCUCUCUUGGGUUCUCUUCAAGCACGGCACAAAGGAGUAGGGGUUAACUACCAAUAUAUAUAUUAGUUAAAUGGCCAACUUAAGGUAAGUCACAAUAUGGUAAGUAGGCUCGACUAGGGUUAAGUCCCAAUAGAAAAACAACAAGCCACAAAGAGUAUAAGCCAUCCAAUAGGUAAAGCAAUGUUAGGUCGGUUCAUCCAUUAUUCGAUGUUGAAUUAUCGUUCAGUCAUUCAUGUCGACUGAUAAAACUGGUUUUCAUCAUCGCCCGGGAGGUCGUUUGACAACAUGAUGUUUAACACACCGGUUUGAGGUCAAAGCCUGAUGAGACUGUGGGCAUCAUGGGGAAGUCUUCUUGGCACAGGACGUGAUGAAAGCCCAAUGUGUACCAUAAAACAAUGUCCCUGUCCUCAAUAGGUCGAUCCCUGGAAAUUCAAAUACAAUUUUAUGAGCAUCGGACAAUAAAAGAGUAUGCAGUAAGAUGUAAUGCAAUGUUAUUUUGGCUGAAUAUUAUUACCUGUCAGACCAUACUUGAAGAGUAUCUUCACCAUGACUCUGAUAGGCAAACAAACAUCCAGAUCAUUGCUCCGACUUGUUAUACUGCGUAACCCAAAAUUGGUUAUUAGUAAAUGCACUUCUCUUCUGUGGAGGAUCUUCAGGAUCGAGCAAACUAGCAGCGGUGCCAGCAGGAACCACCUUAUGGCCAACAGGAUUACCCACUUUUGUUUUCUUGUUUGGAUUAACCACGUGGAAUUCAGAUGGAUUGUACAACGACAACUUAAUUUGUGCUUCUUUCUCAGUUUUAGCCACUUCCUUGUUAACUUUCAUGUAGCUCUUCCUUGGUGACUUCCCGUUGGUGUAUUCCCUUUGCAGGUGAACAUUUACAAAAGAAUCAUCUAUGCCAUCAAUAUCCAUAUCGAGGUAGAAAUUGACGUAGUGAUCGUGCACAACUCCAAUUAUAUUUUCUGAUAAGAGGGUGCCAUAGAGUUCUUCUCCGUUUACUUGGUUCAUGUUCACAUAAGAGGUGCCUUUCACAAUCACUAUGCCAGUAAGUGAAACCUGGACAGUUAUUAGCGCAUUAGAAUUAAGAAUUAUAUAAGCAAUUUAGGCUAAACACAACUGUUAAACCAAAAAAUUCAUUUAUUUCCUGACUAAUGAGUUCUUCUUGACAAAUUGUUUUGACAAUAAAUUUAUAUGCUUUAGACAAGCAACAAGUUGAUGAAUUACAACUAUUGAGGAACAAGGUGAUAAAUGCAGAAAGCCGCACAUUGUGGUCCUUGUGAACCCUUUUAUGUUUGGCAGAUUCUAAACAUAUUGUGGCUGCCAAUUGCUAGCAAGAUUUGGUCGAUAAGGCCAAGAUUCAUUCCAUGGCUUCAUUCGUAGACGCUGUGUUAAGUAAAUAUUUCUAGAUUUUCUCUGCAAUAUUGUAUUACAUUCAGUUUGUAAUUUGUAACAAUAGUGACACAAGAUAUUAAAUCAGUCUUAGUUGCAAGGAUGGUAGCGUCACUCGCUAACUAUGAUUAUGUUAUCAACUGGGAAUUCCAUGCAACUAACUAUGAUUAUGUUAUCGACAAUGAAAUGCACGAAAAGUUAUUUCACCAAAAUCUUGAUGUCUCAGAGACAUUUGGAAUUGUUAUGAGGAAAACUGAACCAUUAUUUGCUAUUCCUUCUCCGAGAUUGUCUAAUUUGAGUCUGUAUGCAUAAUCAUGUUAUAUUUUGAACAUUAGGUACUUGUGUGGCUUGAUAUAUUGUUAAUCCGUAUGGCACGUGCUCUAAUGAUUACAAAAGUGUACCGAUUGUGAGAAAAAUAAAGUGGACUUGAGAGUCCUAAUUAUGGUUUCUUAUAUAGACUAUUUACUUUCAAUUUUUAUUCCAAGUCUAACGUCAAUCUAAAUUAGUCUAGUGAGCUAUUAACAAAACAAGAUUUUAUUUUCGAACUAGUUUAUUCUAAAUUAAUUAUAAUAUGCUUAUAAUUCAAUUAAAUCUAAAAUAAGUUACAUGAUUUUUAUUUUAUAAUAAACUUAAAAUUUUAUAACUCCCCGUUCAUUAAGGUACUAGAAUACUUUAUUUAUUUAAGUGAAGAGAUAUUAAACCAACAGAAAUUAAUUCUUGGAUCCGAGAAAUUUUAACUUUUUCCUUCAAUGGUGCAAAUUUUAAAUGAUUUGUCUUGCCAGUUAACUGUUGUUAUCUAUUUUGAUAAUUUUUAUUAUGGUGCUUAAGAUGAGUUUAUAUAUAUUUUGAUCUAAUAAAACUACAAUAAACAAUGAAUAUGUAGAAAUCCUUUUAAUCAUGGCAAUGAACUAGGAUUUUUGGCAUGUUGAGUUCAUGCACUGUUAAGGACAUCUCCACUUUUCAUUCUAAAAGUAAAAUACUAAGGAUUUCAUGUAAGUAAACCUUCUCUCGUCCUCAUGUGUGCGCUACCUUGUUAAAAGUAUAAAUGUGUUACCUAAAUUCCCUGUUAUGUGACAUUGAUAUUUGAUUAUUACAUUUUAUGUUAUUAUUCAUGCACGUUAAUACAUUCAUAAGCAUACAAGAAGUUUCAAGGAAUAAAAUGUCUGCAUAUGUCAUUGCUCAGUGAAUAUUUUAAAAAAAUAUGUAUCCCAAAUUUUUUUAUUACGAGGUAUAUGUCUAUGUCAUAAAAAGUAUGAGUAGGAAACGAGACAUGGGGGACCAGAGCACACAACCAAUGUUUAAUGAUAAUGUUAAUAUUAACAGCUUUGCGAUAUUACUAGUAGGACUCUACCAGGUUCCAAAUAAUAAUUGUCCACUUCAUUUUGAUUGAUUAUGCGAUACACCAAGUGAACUCACGUCAAUGUUGAGUUCUUAAAGAAAUGAAAGAAAGUGGAUAUAUAUUAAGAGUUGUUUUUAUUUUAAAGUAAUUCAUACGUAUAUCAUAAGAUUGCAUCUUUUGUUUAAUAAGCAUUAGCUCAUGCUACGUUAUCUCUCCAAAUUUUUAAAUGAUGAAAGCAUGAUGAUUUGAGAUGACUAAUUAUGAUGUGAUGGACUCAGUAUUACAUUUAAAUAUCGACUUCUUUUAGAAAUUAAAGUUGACAUUUAAUUUUAUUAUUAUUUUUUCAUUUAAGUGCUAAAAAAUUCUACACGUUAUGUUCAUAAAUGAAGUCAAUAAUGUUCAUUAUAUUAAAUAAAAAUUUAAUCCCUUGUGCAUUUGUGAUUUUAAGAGUAAGCCCUUGUUUGAGCUCCUUUCUUUUGGAAAAAUACAUUUUUGGACAAUGUUUUGACAUUAUUUCAAUUGUACAUUUUUCAAUAAAAUAAUAUUACACACAAAUCCAAAAUUUUUCCUUAUUUUUUAACCACACAUUUUUCAUCGAUAUACUAUUCAAAAAUUCAUUCUUCUCAAAGAAUAGGGUUCAAACAAGGGCUAAUUCAAAAGUUAAUUCUCCCAGAUACCUAGAUUUGGCGUUGUUACAAUUCAGCUCCAAUUUGAGCGUUCAGUGUAGGCUGUCGCUCGCCUACCAUGAGGUUGGGCAUUCGAGCACCACGUGUCAUUCGUUUCAUGCGAGCUUUAUCGCUCGAGCAUAGGUUGUAUUCGAUCCACGGCCCGUUAUGCAAUUUGAAGCGAUUUUAGGUUUCCAUUCCAUCUAUAAAAUCAUUGCUAAGGUUUUAUUUUAGCACACAACCUCUAGACUCGUCUUAGCAUUGAGAGAAUAUUAUUUCCCUAUAGUUAGCAUUAAAUUCUUGUAAAUGCCAUACUUUUGAUAAAAUAAAUUCUCUUCCUCUAUCAAAUUUAUGUGUUCAUGUGUUGUAAUUGUUACUUCAUAUUUUGUCAUAUAUCUCGCAUAUUCCUAACAAUAAAGCAACUACGGGUUGUAUUUGAGGUUUCCAACUUGUACACUUGCUAGUAAAUACACAUGCAGUAGUUGAUUUCCAACUACCUUUAGCCUCACGAAAUUUACAUCUACAAUCCCUCAAGCUUUACACCUUCACUACUUGAUUUAAACAUUAAACCUGACUGAGAUGAUCCCUGACAUCAAAGCAACCAUUUUAAUGCAUCGCAGUGCUGAGGUCUUGAGUUGGCCAUGAACAUUCUUAUUGUACUUAUAGCAUGGUACACAUCAAGUCUCAUAAUUACAAUGAUUGGGCCCACUGUCUUAUAAGAAGGUACCUUUUGAAUGUAUUUUCACUUCAAAUUCGAUAGCCCCACUUGAAAUGACAUGGUUAAAGUAAUACAUUUUGAUUUUAAUUUUCAUUCCAUUAUAUUCUAUUUGAAAAUUAAUGGAGGCCAAACAGAACGACAAUAUUGUCAAAAUGUUUGAAAUUUGUCUCGGAACUAAAACAAUUUUAGGUCUCUGUCUUUCAGGGCCAGUCCUGGGCACGGGCAAAUGAGGCCAGUGCCUCAAGCCCAAAACCACAAAGGGCCUAUGUUAGCCCAAAGUUUUUUUUUUUUAAUAUUAAAAGAAGGAAAAAGAAAAAGAAAAUAGUUUUUUCAUUAAUUGUGAGAUGAUUGAGAUAUUUGUUUGUUGUUUUAAUCUUUAGUUUUAAGUUAACAAUAUGUUACAUAAUAUAUCGUUGAAUUUAGCAUUUACGUUGAUUUUGGGAGACUUAAUUUUUAGACUUUGUCUCGAGCCCCGACAAUCAUAGGACUGGCCGUGCUGUCUUUCAAUGUCCAUGUCCAAUAUUCUGUCUAAUAUAUCCUAAAUCUUUUAUGUCAAAUUCAGUACUUUACACCGUCUUUAUAUGGUUUAUUUUAUGCAUGUUUGAACUAAUCAAUAACAUGUCAUCAACUUAAAAUAGCAAGUAAGGAGUCAAUUAAUUUUUUACUUGAAAUUUAAUUUGAAGUGGAACGGCAGAAAUUUUUCAUAAGAAAGACAGUGAUCAAAUUUUUAUAGUUCAAGAACACAUAGCUAUGAUUAAUGAUUACUAUCCCCUUUCAAGGAAAAAUUAAAAAUAAAAAUAUCGACAUCAGCCCAGCCCCAAAGAAUUCGCUUCGAUGCCAAUGCCUACAUACCAUCAUAAUCUAGUUCAUCUUGGGGACAGACAUCAGCCCAGCCCCCAAAGAAUUCAUUUCAAUAUGGGCAGCGGAUCACUCAACGCACUAAGGGGUUUGUGUCACCCUGCCCGACCCGACUGAACAAAAUGCUCGUUCUCAGGCUGAAGCAGCAGCUUUGCAAACUGGCAGCUCUUUCUCAACAUAUGGUGCAACCCUAAGAACAGGGUUUCUCUCAAAGAAAUUCACCGGUUUGAGGUCGAAGCCUGCUGAGACUGUGGGCAUCAUGGGGAAGUCUUCUUGGCACGGGACGUGAUGAAAGCCCAAUGUAUACCAUAAAACAAUGUCCCUGUUCUCA
RNAcentral lists this long non-coding RNA (5961 nucleotides) under Olea europaea (common olive). RNAcentral describes it as "long non-coding RNA (OEUR_LNC012281)". The record is from RNAcentral. Lineage: Eukaryota; Viridiplantae; Streptophyta; Magnoliopsida; Lamiales; Oleaceae.